AUGGCGGAUAGAUACCGAGCAGGAGCAGGGGCAGGGGAGGGGAAGCAGAUGGAGGAUCGGGCCAAGAGGGCGGUGGAGUGGGCAGCCGCCGAGAGGAGCGCCAAGAAGCCCUGCUGCCACCGCAACCCAAGCGGCGGCGGCGGCGGCGGCGUGCCGGAGAUCUCCUCCCUCCUCUCCUCGCUCUCCGUCGCCAAGCGCCGCUCCCCGGCCGCCCACGACCACGACCACGCCCCCCUCGGCAAGCGGCCCCGUUACGACCACCACCAUGACCUCGACGCCCGGAUGCGAGGACUGGAGAUCAGCUGCGACACGACGGAAGCCAUCGAGGAGCAGGAGGAGGAAGGGCCGGACUGGGCGGGCUUCCUGCCGGAGCUGCUGGGCCUCGUCUGCGGCCGGCUCCCUCUCGCCGACGUGCCCCGGUUCGGCGCCGUCUGCAGGAGCUGGCGGUCGUGCGCGUUCCCGGUGUACCCGGCCGACGCCGCGCCCGUGCUGCUCAGCGCCACGCUCACCGCCGCCGGCGCCGUCCGCUGCUACAGCCCCCACCUGCACAGGACCUUCCUCCUCGCCGCGCCUCCCCUGCCCCAAGGCGGCAGGCUCUUCUCCGCGGGCGCCGGCGGGUGGGUCAUGCUCAGCACGCCCAGCACCACCGUCGUGCUCGCCAACCUCCUGGACGGGUCCGUGCACGAGACGCCCAAGCGGGAGGACGGCGACCAGGGGUUCAUGUGCUCCGCGCCGCGCCACCACGGCCACGACAAUGGCCGCAACAACAACAACAACAACAACAACAACAAUGGCUGCUGCUUUGACGUGUUCGCCGUCCGCGCCUUCUUGGGCACCAUCAGGGUCGAGAGCUGGGGCGGCGCCGGCAGCGUCUGGAAGAGCGUGGAGGAGCAGAGCUCCUUCAGAAUGUCCUGCUGCUGCAGCCCGGUGAUGCACAAGGGGAUGCUCUACUGCCUUGGACAGGAGGGCGCUCUAGGGGUCUACGAUCCCGGCCAGGCGACGUGGAGUGCGCUCCCAAAGCCCGCCGGCUUUGCCCCGGAGCUCGCCUACAAGAACUGCCACCUCGUCGGCUCGCGGUCGGAGCUGCUCGCCGUGCUGACGGGCAGCAACGGAGCUCCGCCCAUCUACGUGCUGAGGCUCGACGAGGCCAAGAUGGCAUGGAAGAGGGUCAAGUCAUUGGACGGCCGCUCCCUUUUCACGGGGACGACCUCGUCGGUGGCGGUGGCAAAGCCGGUUGCCGAAUCCAUGGCCGACAAGGUGUACCUUCCCAGGCUCUAUGGCCGGCCGCAGGUGAUCCAGGCGGAGCUCGCCGCCUCGGAUGGCCGCCUCUUCUUCGUUGUAAAAGCCAAGGCGGCAUAG
This 1359-nucleotide ribosomal RNA is filed under the name Triticum aestivum (bread wheat). RNAcentral's name for it is "partial small subunit ribosomal RNA". Lineage: Eukaryota; Viridiplantae; Streptophyta; Magnoliopsida; Poales; Poaceae. The record is from RNAcentral.